UCCGGAGUAAGAUGGCUGCAGCGCGUGUGCUGAGGACCUGGAGCCGGACUGCUGGGCGUCUGAUUUGUGUCCGCUACUUUCAAACAUGUGGUAAUAUUCAUGUUUUGAAGCCAAACUAUGUGUCUUUCUUUGGUUAUCCUUCAUUCAAGUGUAGUCAUCCACAUCAGCUGCUGAAAACAACUGCUGCUCUACAGGGACAGAUUGUUCAGUUCAAACUCUCAGACAUUGGUGAAGGGAUUAGAGAAGUAACUGUUAAAGAAUGGUAUGUAAAAGAAGGAGAUACAGUGUCUCAGUUUGAUAGCAUCUGUGAAGUUCAAAGUGAUAAAGCUUCUGUUACUAUCACUAGUCGUUACGAUGGAGUCAUUAAAAAACUAUAUUAUAAUCUAGACGAUAUUGCCUAUGUGGGAAAGCCAUUAGUAGACAUAGAAACGGAAGCUUUGAAAGAUUCAGAAGAAGAUGUUGUUGAAACUCCUGCUGUGUCCCAUGAUGAACACACACACCAAGAGAUAAAGGGCCAAAAAACACUGGCAACUCCUGCAGUUCGUCGCCUUGCAAUGGAAAACAAUAUUAAGCUGAGUGAAGUUGUUGGCUCUGGAAAAGAUGGCAGAAUACUUAAAGAAGAUAUUCUCAGCUAUCUGGAAAAGCAAACAGGAGCUAUACUACCUCCUUCACCAAAAGCUGAAAUUAUGCCACCUCCAUCAAAACCAAAAGAGAGAACUAUUCCUAUACCAAUAUCAAAACCUCCAGUAUUCACAGGCAAAGACAGAACAGAACCCAUAAAAGGCUUUCACAAAGCAAUGGUCAAGACCAUGUCUGCAGCCCUGAAGAUACCUCAUUUUGGGUAUUGUGAUGAGGUUGACCUUACUGAACUGGUUAAGCUACGAGAAGAAUUAAAACCCAUUGCUUUUGCUCGUGGAAUUAAACUCUCCUUUAUGCCCUUCUUCUUAAAGGCUGCUUCCUUGGGAUUACUACAAUUUCCUAUCCUUAAUGCUUCUGUGGAUGAAAACUGCCAGAACAUAACAUAUAAGGCUUCUCAUAACAUUGGGAUAGCAAUGGAUACAGAGCAGGGCUUGAUUGUACCUAAUGUGAAAAAUAUUCAGAUCCGCUCCAUAUUUGAGAUCGCCACUGAAUUGAACCGCCUCCAGAAAGUGGGCUCUGCAGGUCAGCUCAGCACCACUGACCUUACAGGAGGAACAUUUACUCUUUCCAACAUUGGAUCAAUUGGUGGUACCUACACCAGACCAGUGAUAUUGCCACCCGAAGUGGCAAUUGGGGCCCUGGGAACAAUUAAGUUCCAGGCGCUGGGAUAUACACUGUGGAUAAAGAUGAAGAAGACAGAUGAAGUUUCUGACCUCACAGUGAGAACUCUGGCUGGUGAUUAAAGCCUUCACCAGAAGUGGGUCUGUGCCAGUAACAUGGAGGAGAGCAGUGCUUCUAGAGUUGAGUUGUAUCUCCAGUCAGUUCUUAAUGGUGGUUUUGCUCCUUCCCUAUAAACUGUCUUUUCUCACUGAGGUUAGAUCAUUGUGUCUCCUUUACACACUAGGCCUGCCUCAUCGAUCCUGCCUCACAAACCAUACACCUAAUAAUAAGAUAGACUCUGUCCUUAGGUCACACAGACACAGGCCAUUCAAGCUCUUCAGGUUACGGUUUGGGUGUUGCUUUUCAUGAGGCAAGCAACAUAGGGGACCUACAUGAGCCCAGACAUUUAGGGAGAAAUAUGCAAGGGCUGUACCAUCUGAGCAUAAUAUUUUCAGAGUGCACAUAUAAGAGCUUCUAAUGAAACUACCAUCAAUGAGUCAGCUAGCCUCUAUGCUCAUGAAAUAGUGGUAGAGAGGGAAAAAUGAGUAAAAUUUGAGACAAUAAUUAUAAUAGUGUCAGGCACCGCUAAUGCUUUACAUAUAUUAAUUCGUUCCGUCUCUCCAGAAACACUAUGAGGUGGGUGCAAUGAUUGGCCCCAUUUGAGGAAACAGAGUUUAAGUACUUAGAUGCGUGUGGAUUAACAUACUCUAAAGAAGUAUAAAAAGCUAAACUGCUAUACCUCACUUCGUGUUCCAAAUGCCAGGAUUGUCCAUGAUUUUAUGCUGUUUGAGGAACUGGUACUAUUGAGCUAAAAGAAAGAGAGUUUUUGUUUGUUUUAGGGGUCUUAGCAGUUUGAAAUGUUCCCUGAAGGCCCUGUGUUCUCCAGGCACCGAAAGGAAGGAGUUUUGGUGUUAUGAAUUCUCUGCAGCAGUAGUUUAUGAGAGAAGCAUGAUGUCAGUUCACUUCAGAACAGGAUCUACCAACAUCCUCCUGUUCUCUUACUGAGCCAGCCUUUACACACCAGAACCAAACUGUAGAAGAGCUGCCAUUGGGGAUUCUCAGAGUACAGGAUGCUUCCUUUAGGAAUGCGAGUGAAACCUGAAGCUGCCUGCAGUGACUUCCCAGUUGUUCCUGGUGGCCUGUUGCAAAGCAUGAGGACGAUAUCACGUGUUUCGAGAGAUGAUCAAAGGAAAAUCCUGAGGCUUCCCGAGGAAAGGAUUGGGGUCUCAGUCCUUGCAGACAGUGCCUUAUCUUCCUCAGGUACAAGCACUCAAAAACUAGAAAGAGGUAAGCACAGAAUUUGGGUUUUAGAAGAUCCUCUAUCCUCGUAUGCUCUUUAUUGUCCUAAGCUCCCAUCACAAUGAAUUAGUCCCCAUUCCCUGAAAACAACAUGCAGUGUAUUUCAUGUUUCCAUGCCUUUGCUGGGCUUGUUUCUCCACUCUGGUCUCCACCAGAAGAAAAUCCAGAACAAAAGUCACUUCCUUUUUUUAGACCUCCUCUGACUGCGCCUCCCUACGUUUGAAUCAAUAUUUAUUUUUCCUCUCUUUCUCUUGCUUUGUCCACACCUCCAACAGGACUCAUGCAGUGAUGUAGCUGGAUGAGUAUGUCUUCACUGCUGGCCUGUGAACCCUCUCUGUAGCCCCAGCUCAAUUGCCUAGUACUCAGUAUGUGCUGGUUGACUUAAAAAGAAAUCUAUGCCCUGGAUCUGAUUACGUUUUUUUAUGAAGUCCUCAUGUAGCAUUGAAGCAUUGCCAAUGACCCAGAAAAGUAUAAUGUGAAGCAACCAUGGCCAUGAGGCCGCUCUUGUAUCUAUGGAAUGACUCUGAAUCGCUAUGCUUGCUACAAGGAAAAGUAUCUAGAGGAAAAGGAAUCUGUUCAAACCUCCUUAUAAUUGAGCACAGGCUCCGGACGCGCAGGCUCAGAGGCCAUGGCUCACGGGCCCAGCCGCGCUGCGGCAUGUGGGAUCUUCCCAGACCGGGGCAUGAACCCGUAUCCCCUGCAUCGGCAGGCGGACUCUCAACCACUGCGCCACCAGGGAAGCCCCCAUAAUUUUUUUAUAAAUAAAGUUUUAUUGGA
This is an RNA transcript of Physeter macrocephalus (sperm whale), 3375 nucleotides long. It is a transcript of the gene named dihydrolipoamide branched chain transacylase E2, with no coding region annotated. The record is from RefSeq and is a predicted model, not a curated record. Lineage: Eukaryota; Metazoa; Chordata; Mammalia; Artiodactyla; Physeteridae. The transcript has 12 exons.